UUUCGAAUCAUUCACAAUGGGCGAAAGCCUGAUGGUGCGACGCCGCGUGAGGGAUGAAGGCCUUCGGGUUGUAAACCUCUGUCACCGGGGAAAAAACGCUUCAAGCUAACAGUUUGAAGCCUGACUUAACCCGGAGAGGAAGCAGUGGCUAACUCUGUGCCAGCAGCCGCGGUAAUACAGAGACUGCAAGCGUUAUUCGGAUUCACUGGGCGUAAAGGGUGCGCAGGCGGCCAAGUGUGUGAGGCGUGAAAGCCCGAUGCUCAACAUCGGAAUUGCACCUCAAACUACAUGGCUAGAGCAUUGGAGAGGGUAGCGGAAUUCACGGUGUAGCAGUGAAAUGCGUAGAUAUCGUGAGGAACACCAGAGGCGAAGGCGGCUACCUGGACAAUUGCUGACGCUCAGGCACGAAAGCGUGGGGAGCAAA
Molecule: ribosomal RNA, 424 nt
Filed under: uncultured bacterium
Lineage: Bacteria
Description: bacterial SSU rRNA
Rfam family: Bacterial small subunit ribosomal RNA
Source: RNAcentral